CGGGUGCACUGAUCCGGCCGGGCCUUUCCCUCUGUGGAACCCCAUGGCCUUCACUGGCUGUGCGGGGGAAACAGGACUUUUACUGUGAAAAAAUUAGAGUGCUCCAGGCAGGCCUAUGCUCGAAUACAUUAGCAUGGAAUAAUAGAAUAGGACGCGUGGUUCUAUUUUGUUGGUUUCUAGGACCGCCGUAAUGAUUAAUAGGGACAGUCGGGGGCAUCAGUAUUCAAUUGUCAGAGGUGAAAUUCUUGGAUCUAUUGAAGACUAACUACUGCGAAAGCAUUUGCCAAGGAUGUUUUCAUUGAUAAGGAACGAAAGUUAGGGGAUCGAAGACGAUCAGAUACCGUCGUAGUCUUAACUAUAAACUAUGCCGACUAGGGAUCGGGACGAUGUUAUUUUUUGACCGCGUUCGGCCCCCUUUCGAGAAAAUCAAAGGUGGCUUGGGCUUCCAGGGGGGAGGUAUUGGUCGCAAAGGCUGAAACCUUAAAGAAAAUUGACGGGAAGGGCACCCACCAGGGGUGGAACCUGCGGCUUAAUUUGACUCAACACGGGGAAACUCACCAGGUCCAGACACAGUGAGGAUUGACAGAUUGAGAGCUCUUUCUUGAUUCUGUGGGUGGUGGUGCAUGGCCGUUCUUAGUUGGUGGAGUGAUUUGUCUGCUUAAUUGCGAUAACGAACGAGACCUUAACCUGCUAAAUAGCCCGUACUGCUCUGGCAGUUCGCCGGCUUCUUAGAGGGACUAUCGG
RNAcentral lists this ribosomal RNA (744 nucleotides) under uncultured eukaryote. RNAcentral's name for it is "SSU rRNA". It matches the Rfam family "Eukaryotic small subunit ribosomal RNA", at positions 670 to 1426 of the family's 1831-position model. The record is from RNAcentral.